CAUUGCAGUCGAGCGGGGGAAGGUAGCUUGCUACUGGACCUAGCGGCGGACGGGUGAGUAAUGCUUAGGAAUCUGCCUAUUAGUGGGGGACAACAUCUCGAAAGGGAUGCUAAUACCGCAUACGUCCUACGGGAGAAAGCAGGGGAUCUUCGGACCUUGCGCUAAUAGAUGAGCCUAAGUCGGAUUAGCUAGUUGGUGGGGUAAAGGCCUACCAAGGCGACGAUCUGUAGCGGGUCUGAGAGGAUGAUCCGCCACACUGGGACUGAGACACGGCCCAGACUCCUACGGGAGGCAGCAGUGGGGAAUAUUGGACAAUGGGGGGAACCCUGAUCCAGCCAUGCCGCGUGUGUGAAGAAGGCCUUAUGGUUGUAAAGCACUUUAAGCGAGGAGGAGGCUACUCUAGUUAAUACCUAGGGAUAGUGGACGUUACUCGCAGAAUAAGCACCGGCUAACUCUGUGCCAGCAGCCGCGGUAAUACAGAGGGUGCGAGCGUUAAUCGGAUUUACUGGGCGUAAAGCGUGCGUAGGCGGCUUAUUAAGUCGGAUGUGAAAUCCCCGAGCUUAACUUGGGAAUUGCAUUCGAUACUGGUGAGCUAGAGUAUGGGAGAGGAUGGUAGAAUUCCAGGUGUAGCGGUGAAAUGCGUAGAGAUCUGGAGGAAUACCGAUGGCGAAGGCAGCCAUCUGGCCUAAUACUGACGCUGAGGUACGAAAGCAUGGGGAGCAAACAGGAUUAGAUACCCUGGUAGUCCAUGCCGUAAACGAUGUCUACUAGCCGUUGGGGCCUUUGAGGCUUUAGUGGCGCAGCUAACGCGAUAAGUAGACCGCCUGGGGAGUACGGUCGCAAGACUAAAACUCAAAUGAAUUGACGGGGGCCCGCACAAGCGGUGGAGCAUGUGGUUUAAUUCGAUGCAACGCGAGACCUUACCUGGCCUUGAC
This 935-nucleotide ribosomal RNA is filed under the name Acinetobacter baumannii. RNAcentral's name for it is "bacterial SSU rRNA". It matches the Rfam family "Bacterial small subunit ribosomal RNA", at positions 54 to 985 of the family's 1533-position model. The record is from RNAcentral. Lineage: Bacteria; Pseudomonadati; Pseudomonadota; Gammaproteobacteria; Moraxellales; Moraxellaceae.